UAAGGAAUAUUGGUCAAUGGAGGGAACUCUGAACCAGCCAUGCCGCGUGCAGGAAGACGGCCCUCUGGGUUGUAAACUGCUUUUAUUCGGGCAUAAACCUAUUUACGUGUAAAUAGCUGAAUGUACCGAAGGAAUAAGGAUCGGCUAACUCCGUUCCAGCAGCCGCGGUAAUACGGAGGAUCCAAGCGUUAUCCGGAUUUCUUGGGCUUAAAGGGUGCGUAGGCGGCUUAUUAAGUCAGGGGUGAAAGACGGUGGCUCAACCAUCGCAGUGCCCUUGAUACUGAUGAGCUUGAAUGGACUAGAGGUAGGCGGAAUGUGACAAGUAGCGGUGAAAUGCAUAGAUAUGUCACAGAACACCGACUGCGAAGGCAGCUUACUAUGGUUUAAUUGACGCUGAGGCGCGAAAGCGUGGGGAUCAAACA
RNAcentral lists this ribosomal RNA (422 nucleotides) under uncultured bacterium. Its description in RNAcentral is "bacterial SSU rRNA". It matches the Rfam family "Bacterial small subunit ribosomal RNA", at positions 355 to 774 of the family's 1533-position model. The record is from RNAcentral.